RNAcentral lists this ribosomal RNA (557 nucleotides) under uncultured bacterium. RNAcentral's name for it is "bacterial SSU rRNA". It matches the Rfam family "Bacterial small subunit ribosomal RNA", at positions 102 to 694 of the family's 1533-position model. The record is from RNAcentral.
ACGGGUGAGUAACACGUGGGAAUUUGCCCUAUGGUACGGAAUAACACAGAGAAAUUUGUGCUAAUACCGUAUGUGUCCUUCGGGAGAAAGAUUUAUCGCCAUAGGAUAAGCCCGCGUCCGAUUAGCUAGUUGGUGAGGUAAUGGCUCACCAAGGCGACGAUCGGUAGCUGGUCUGAGAGGAUGAUCAGCCACACUGGGACUGAGACACGGCCCAGACUCCUACGGGAGGCAGCAGUGGGGAAUAUUGGACAAUGGGCGCAAGCCUGAUCCAGCCAUGCCGCGUGAGUGAUGAAGGCCUUAGGGUUGUAAAGCUCUUUCGCCUGCGAGGAUAAUGACGGUAGCAGGAUAAGAAGCCCCGGCUAACUUCGUGCCAGCAGCCGCGGUAAUACGAAGGGGGCUAGCGUUGUUCGGAAUCACUGGGCGUAAAGCGCACGUAGGCGGACUUUUAAGUCAGAGGUGAAAGCCUGGAGCUCAACUUCAGAACUGCCUUUGAUACUGGAAGUCUUGAGUCCGGUAGAGGUGAGUGGAACUGCUAGUGUAGAGGUGAAAUUCGUAGA